Molecule: ribosomal RNA, 911 nt
Filed under: uncultured bacterium
Lineage: Bacteria
Description: bacterial SSU rRNA
Rfam family: Bacterial small subunit ribosomal RNA
Source: RNAcentral
ACGCUGGCGGCGUGCCUAAUACAUGCAAGUAGAACGCUGAAGAGAGGAGCUUGCUCUUCUUGAAUGAGUUGCGAACGGGUGAGUAACGCGUAGGUAACCUGCCUUGUAGCGGGGGAUAACUAUUGGAAACGAUAGCUAAUACCGCAUAACAAUGGGUGACACAUGUCAUUUAUUUGAAAGGGGCAAUUGCUCCACUACAAGAUGGACCUGCGUUGUAUUAGCUAGUAGGUGAGGUAACGGCUCACCUAGGCGACGAUACAUAGCCGACCUGAGAGGGUGAUCGGCCACACUGGGACUGAGACACGGCCCAGACUCCUACGGGAGGCAGCAGUAGGGAAUCUUCGGCAAUGGGGGCAACCCUGACCGAGCAACGCCGCGUGAGUGAAGAAGGUUUUCGGAUCGUAAAGCUCUGUUGUAAGUCAAGAACGAGUGUGAGAGUGGAAAGUUCACACUGUGACGGUAGCUUACCAGAAAGGGACGGCUAACUACGUGCCAGCAGCCGCGGUAAUACGUAGGUCCCGAGCGUUGUCCGGGUUUAUUGGGCGUAAAGCGAGCGCAGGCGGUUUGAUAAGUCUGAAGUUAAAGGCUGUGGCUCAACCAUAGUUCGCUUUGGAAACUGUCAAACUUGAGUGCAGAAGGGGAGAGUGGAAUUCCAUGUGUAGCGGUGAAAUGCGUAGAUAUAUGGAGGAACACCGGUGGCGAAAGCGGCUCUCUGGUCUGUAACUGACGCUGAGGCUCGAAAGCGUGGGGAGCGAACAGGAUUAGAUACCCUGGUAGUCCACGCCGUAAACGAUGAGUGCUAGGUGUUGGAUCCUUUCCGGGAUUCAGUGCCGCAGCUAACGCAUUAAGCACUCCGCCUGGGGAGUACGACCGCAAGGUUGAAACUCAAAGGAAUUGACGGGGGCCCGCAC